This 441-nucleotide long non-coding RNA is filed under the name Anser brachyrhynchus (Pink-footed goose). RNAcentral's name for it is "lncRNA (ENSABRG00000017981.1)". The record is from RNAcentral. Lineage: Eukaryota; Metazoa; Chordata; Aves; Anseriformes; Anatidae.
UAAUGAAUGUGUAAUUGAAAUUAACAAGCUCCCUUGGAAAAGUAAACAAUUCCUUUUGUGUUUUGGUUUUAAAAUAGAUCUUCAUUUCUUAAAGCAUGCUUUUAAUAUGAGAUUCUGAUGUCUUUCUUGCAUGUAGAUCUUGCCUCAUUCCCCUAAAAUUCCGCCUUCCAGCUCCUAUGCAAGAAAAGGGAUCUCAAGAAAAUAAUUUGUGGAGAAGUUGUAGCGAGAGGACUCAUCUCGGGUUAAAGGCGCUACAUGAUGAUGAAUGCCCUGCAUCUUUGGUGGAAUGCUCCAGCAGGUUUGAAUGACUAGAUUGUAAUGAAGAAUGCAGGAAUGCUAGGUUUCUGUGCUCAGUUUGGCAGGUUGUGAAUGACAAAUGAAAGCAACUAGUGAUUUGAUUUUCUUGCCCAUCUGCUUUAUACAUUAAACAUAAAAAUCAAG